GUUGUGUGCGUAACCAGAGUAUUUGUAACGCUGUUGUAGAAGUAUGUUUAGAGCUGCAUAUGGACUGUGCAUUUAUUUCUUAUUAUACAUAGGGAUGGUGAAAUGUGUGAAUGUUCAACAGAACCCAACACCCAUAUUAGCCAGCGCGAAGAAUAUAACAGACAUAAAUUGUAGUUAUGAUGACAGUAACAAGCCAAACAUGUUAUGGUAUCAGCAGAAGGAUACAGCCAUGGUCUUGAUCGUGUUAAGUUACAGUGCUACAAGUGACCCCACCUAUGAGGAUGGAUUUAAAGGCCGGUUUAAAUUGGAAAGAACAGAAACACUGAAGGGAGUUCUGAAAAUCUCUGAUCUCAGUUCAUCAGACUCGGCUGUUUAUUACUGUGCUGUCAGUAUGCACAGUGCUGUAGUCUUUAUUACCUGCCUGACUAAAAACCAAACCACCAGAUAAACAGGAAAUGCACAAAAAAGCCAAUCUAAUGUUCUUGAGGUUCAAAUGUGACACUAAUGAAAAGGCUUGUUACAGCAUUUCAUUUCUACAUCAAAUAAUAUUUUUGUACAGUUUUUAAUAGAAAACACAAUCAGAUAUAAGUGUUGCUCCCAAACUGAGUACAGGAUCUACCCAGACAGCGGCAUGUGUGCUGGCCAACUUAAC
Molecule: long non-coding RNA, 652 nt
Filed under: Carassius auratus (goldfish)
Lineage: Eukaryota; Metazoa; Chordata; Actinopteri; Cypriniformes; Cyprinidae
Description: lncRNA (ENSCARG00000038346.1)
Source: RNAcentral